CCUACGGGGGGCUGCAGUGGGGAAUAUUGGACAAUGGGGGGAACCCUGAUCCAGCCAUGCCGCGUGUGUGAAGAAGGCCCUCGGGUUGUAAAGCACUUUCAGUGAGGAAGAACGCCUGGUGGUUAAUACCCAUCAGGAAAGACAUCACUCACAGAAGAAGCACCGGCUAACUCCGUGCCAGCAGCCGCGGUAAUACGGAGGGUGCGAGCGUUAAUCGGAAUUACUGGGCGUAAAGCACGCGUAGGUGGCUUGAUAAGCCGGUUGUGAAAGCCCCGGGCUCAACCUGGGAACGGCAUCCGGAACUGUCAAGCUAGAGUGCAGGAGAGGAAGGUAGAAUUCCCGGUGUAGCGGUGAAAUGCGUAGAGAUCGGGAGGAAUACCAGUGGCGAAGGCGGCCUUCUGGACUGACACUGACACUGAGGUGCGAAAGCGUGGGUAGCAAACAGGAUUAGAUACCCCUGUAGUC
Molecule: ribosomal RNA, 465 nt
Filed under: Vreelandella stevensii
Lineage: Bacteria; Pseudomonadati; Pseudomonadota; Gammaproteobacteria; Oceanospirillales; Halomonadaceae
Description: partial 16S ribosomal RNA
Rfam family: Bacterial small subunit ribosomal RNA
Source: RNAcentral